This is a non-coding RNA of Schizosaccharomyces pombe (fission yeast), 511 nucleotides long. The record is from the annotation of a GenBank genome assembly. NCBI's taxonomy places the organism in Eukaryota, Fungi, Ascomycota, Schizosaccharomycetes, Schizosaccharomycetales, Schizosaccharomycetaceae.
UAAGUCUUGUUAUGCAUCAACAAGAGCUCAACAUCUGAAACGUUACGGACUAGGAAAGCCUUCAAUCCAUUAGGCAUGCAGUAUCUGGUCUUCUUGUUAUUUCCAUAACCAAUCUUGGGCAUGGAAAUGGUGCCACGGAAACGACGACGAACACAACUAUCAAUACCUCUGGGCUUUCUCCAUGAUUCUCCAACACGCUUGAAGCGGUCAGACUGAUGGCGCUUGAAGGGCUUGGUGCGCUUCUUGAUGAUAUUGACAGCAGCCAUUUCUGUUGUGUGGGUGGAAAAGUUAGCACUUGUGUUGUGAGUGUGUUUUGGAACGAACGUGACUGCUUUUUAUGGGGAUGGUAGCUGAGUUUUCAUUUUUUGCGCUAUAGUUCCCAGAUUUGACAUGUUGAAAAAGAAGUUAAUAAUAUCUCUAUUUAAAUGAUCAAUAACAUUAUAAAACUAAUCAUUCUUCAUUUUCAUUUCUGUAAUAUCCCGUAUUUAGCUUUGCAUAUCAAACUGAUUGC